GGCUCGGUAGCUCAGUGGUAGAGCAGGAGAAUCAUAAUCUCUUGGUCGGGGGUUCAAAUCCCUCCCGAGCCACCA
This 75-nucleotide transfer RNA is filed under the name Alphaproteobacteria bacterium. RNAcentral's name for it is "tRNA-Met". It matches the Rfam family "tRNA". Rfam says of the family: Transfer RNA (tRNA) molecules are approximately 80 nucleotides in length. Their secondary structure includes four short double-helical elements and three loops (D, anti-codon, and T loops). Further hydrogen bonds mediate the characteristic L-shaped molecular structure. tRNAs have two regions of fundamental functional importance: the anti-codon, which is responsible for specific mRNA codon recognition, and the 3' end, to which the tRNAs corresponding amino acid is attached (by aminoacyl-tRNA synthetases). tRNAs cope with the degeneracy of the genetic code in two manners: having more than one tRNA (with a specific anti-codon) for a particular amino acid; and 'wobble' base-pairing, i.e. permitting non-standard base-pairing at the 3rd anti-codon position. The record is from RNAcentral. RNAcentral also lists the same sequence under 1 other name. Lineage: Bacteria; Pseudomonadati; Pseudomonadota; Alphaproteobacteria.